Molecule: ribosomal RNA, 468 nt
Filed under: uncultured bacterium
Lineage: Bacteria
Description: partial 16S ribosomal RNA
Rfam family: Bacterial small subunit ribosomal RNA
Source: RNAcentral
GACGAACGCUGGCGGCGUGCUUAACACAUGCAAGUCGAACGGAAAGGCCCUGCUUUUGUGGGGUGCUCGAGUGGCGAACGGGUGAGUAACACGUGAGUAACCUGCCCUUGACUUUGGGAUAACUUCAGGAAACUGGGGCUAAUACCGGAUAGGAGCUCCUGCUGCAUGGUGGGGGUUGGAAAGUUUCGGCGGUUGGGGAUGGACUCGCGGCUUAUCAGCUUGUUGGUGGGGUAGUGGCUUACCAAGGCUUUGACGGGUAGCCGGCCUGAGAGGGUGACCGGCCACAUUGGGACUGAGAUACGGCCCAUACUCCUACGGGAGGCAGCAGUGGGGAAUAUUGCACAAUGGGCAGAAGCCUGAUGCAGCAACGCCGCGUGCGGGAUGACGGCCUUCGGGUUGUAAACCGCUUUCGCCUGUGACGAAGCGUGAGUGACGGUAAUGGGUAAAGAAGCACCGGCUAACUACGUG